Molecule: ribosomal RNA, 458 nt
Filed under: uncultured bacterium
Lineage: Bacteria
Description: partial 16S ribosomal RNA
Rfam family: Bacterial small subunit ribosomal RNA
Source: RNAcentral
CCUACGGGUGGCAGCAGUGGGGAAUAUUGCACAAUGGGCGAAAGCCUGAUGCAGCAACGCCGCGUGAAGGAAGAAGUAUUUCGGUACGUAAAGCUCUAUCAGCAGGGAAGAAAAACCGGCCUUAGGGCCGCCAGACGGUACCUGACUAAGAAGCCCCGGCUAACUACGUGCCAGCAGCCGCGGUAAUACGUAGGGGGCACGCGUUAUCCGGAUUUACUGGGUGUAAAGGGAGCGUAGACGGCAGCGCAAGUCUGGAGUGAAAUGCCGGGGCCCAACCCCGGAACUGCUUUGGAAACUGUGCAGCUGGAGUGCAGGAGAGGUAAGCGGAAUUCCUAGUGUAGCGGUGAAAUGCGUAGAUAUUAGGAGGAACACCAGUGGCGAAGGCGGCUUACUGGACUGUAACUGACGUUGAGGCUCGAAAGCGUGGGGAGCAAACAGGAUUAGAUACCCGAGUAGUC